CCGGGCGGCGCGCCUCGGGCUCGGCAUUCGCCUCCCGCUCGGCGGACUCGCAGCGACCCGCGGACGCGGCGCCGGCGUGGCCCUGGAGGCAGCUUGUAUCUUUCAUGGUUUUUAAACAUCUUGUAAAAGUACCUGACAAGGCAAUUCCAGAACCUCUUUGGUGUCAUGUAGUGUGCUCUUGACUGAUGAAGAAUGAUGAAACUGGCCCACUAUCUUUUUUCUUUGAGACAGAGUCUCGCUUUGUUGCCCAGGCUAGAGUGAGUGC
Microcebus murinus (gray mouse lemur) is the source of this 265-nucleotide non-coding RNA. The record is from RefSeq and is a predicted model, not a curated record. Lineage: Eukaryota; Metazoa; Chordata; Mammalia; Primates; Cheirogaleidae.